GAGCGAUGACUCAAGUGAUGAGGACAAUGAUGAACUUGAACUUCGAACACCAACUCUUAAUAAGUUCAUUAAACAAAAAUCUAAAAUAAACAAUGAACUUGAAUGGAGGAAGAGGCCAAAGAAAAGGAAGGCACCUAAGGAUGAAUCAAGAACUUCCAAAGGUGAAACGGCGAAUUGGGCUUUGACGGGCUUCGACUACAAGGUAAGUAACUCAACUCUCUUGAAUUAUUUUGAAAUUACUUGAAGUUUUUCAUGAGUUCUUAAUUUAGAUAGUAGGAAUAGGAAAUUAAAAAAAAAUUAUUUUUCAAAAAUUAUAUCAUGUUUUUCUUUUUUAGCAUCUUUGAAAAAAUUAAAAAUUUGAUCAAUGAAAAGUAUAUUGCUAA
This 383-nucleotide long non-coding RNA is filed under the name Musa acuminata (dwarf banana). RNAcentral describes it as "long non-coding RNA (MACU_LNC009504)". Lineage: Eukaryota; Viridiplantae; Streptophyta; Magnoliopsida; Zingiberales; Musaceae. The record is from RNAcentral.